Long non-coding RNA from Xenia sp. Carnegie-2017, 306 nucleotides. RefSeq lists it as uncharacterized. Lineage: Eukaryota; Metazoa; Cnidaria; Anthozoa; Malacalcyonacea; Xeniidae. The transcript is spliced from 2 exons. The record is from RefSeq and is a predicted model, not a curated record.
AUAUUGCUAUCUCAAAUCUUGUCGACCGCAUCAAAAUUGUCCAAGCGAUGGAUGCCUUCCAAUGUAUCAAGCUAAUCCGGAAUAGACGCCCGCAGUUCGUCGAAACGGCGGAUCAAUUCAAACUCUGCUACCGUGCAGUGAACUGCGUAUUGGAGUUUUUCGACGACUACUCAAAUUUCUCGGAAAUAGGUGGAAGUUGAAUUUUUAUACUGUACAAAUUUCUGGAAAAUUUUUUUUGAUGGUUGCUGGAAUGUUACAUGCUCUGCAAUUUUGUCUUCCAUGAAAGAAUAGAAUUCAACAUAAAAA